Molecule: long non-coding RNA, 228 nt
Filed under: Ricinus communis (castor bean)
Lineage: Eukaryota; Viridiplantae; Streptophyta; Magnoliopsida; Malpighiales; Euphorbiaceae
Description: long non-coding RNA (RCOM_LNC000646)
Source: RNAcentral
UGAGGAUUAAAAUGAGACUUUAAGCAUUGGGCUUAAGCUCAUAUAUAUUGAGCCUAAUUAAAGGUUAAUUAAUUAAGAGCUAAUGGGCCAUGUAUAAUGGGUUAUUAUGUAUGGAUAAGUUCUUAUAUUAAUUAAAGUCCAUUUAGGAUAACAAGCCCAACUUAAUGUAAGCUAGAGUUUAAUAGAAAUCCUAUAUCUUUAAGGACUGAUGUGGUGUGCUUAUGCAAC